GAUGAACGCUGGCGGCGUGCCUAAUACAUGCGAGUCGAGCGGACGGACGAGAAGCUUGCUUCUCUGAUGUUAGCGGCGGACGGGUGAGUAACACGUGGAUAACCUACCUAUAAGACUGGGAUAACUUCGGGAAACCGGAGCUAAUACCGGAUAAUAUUUUGAACCGCAUGGUUCAAAAGUGAAAGACGGUCUUGCUGUCACUUAUAGAUGGAUCCGCGCUGCAUUAGCUAGUUGGUAAGGUAACGGCUUACCAAGGCAACGAUGCAUAGCCGACCUGAGAGGGUGAUCGGCCACACUGGAACUGAGACACGGUCCAGACUCCUACGGGAGGCAGCAGUAGGGAAUCUUCCGCAAUGGGCGAAAGCCUGACGGAGCAACGCCGCGUGAGUGAUGAAGGUCUUCGGAUCGUAAAACUCUGUUAUUAGGGAAGAACAUAUGUGUAAGUAACUGUGCACAUCUUGACGGUACCUAAUCAGAAAGCCACGGCUAACUACGUG
RNAcentral lists this ribosomal RNA (497 nucleotides) under uncultured bacterium. Its description in RNAcentral is "partial 16S ribosomal RNA". It matches the Rfam family "Bacterial small subunit ribosomal RNA", at positions 28 to 507 of the family's 1533-position model. The record is from RNAcentral.